GUAGUCAUAUGCUUGUCUCAAAGACUAAGCCAUGCAUGUCUAAGUAUAAACACCUUUAUACUGCGAAACUGCGAACGGCUCAUUAUAUCAGUUAUAAUCUACUUGAUCGUAUCCUCUUACUUGGAUAACCGUAGUAAUUCUAGAGCUAAUACAUGCAAAAAGACCCGACUGGUGACGGAAGGGUUGUAUUUAUUAGGUCCAAAAUCAAUACUGGCUUUACGGUCAGGUAACCUAUUGAUGAUUCAUAAUAACUAAACGAAGCGCAGUGAAUUUAUUUCGGCGCUGAUACAAACGAGUUUCUGCCCUAUCAACUUUCGAUGGUAGUAUAGGGGACUACCAUGGUCGCAACGGGUAACGGGGAAU
This 363-nucleotide ribosomal RNA is filed under the name uncultured fungus. RNAcentral's name for it is "bacterial SSU rRNA". It matches the Rfam family "Eukaryotic small subunit ribosomal RNA", at positions 20 to 370 of the family's 1831-position model. Lineage: Eukaryota; Fungi. The record is from RNAcentral.